RNAcentral lists this ribosomal RNA (1346 nucleotides) under Staphylococcus aureus. RNAcentral describes it as "bacterial SSU rRNA". It matches the Rfam family "Bacterial small subunit ribosomal RNA", at positions 202 to 1533 of the family's 1533-position model. Lineage: Bacteria; Bacillati; Bacillota; Bacilli; Caryophanales; Staphylococcaceae. The record is from RNAcentral.
CGGUCUUGCUGUCACUUAUAGAUGGAUCCGCGCUGCAUUAGCUAGUUGGUAAGGUAACGGCUUACCAAGGCAACGAUGCAUAGCCGACCUGAGAGGGUGAUCGGCCACACUGGAACUGAGACACGGUCCAGACUCCUACGGGAGGCAGCAGUAGGGAAUCUUCCGCAAUGGGCGAAAGCCUGACGGAGCAACGCCGCGUGAGUGAUGAAGGUCUUCGGAUCGUAAAACUCUGUUAUUAGGGAAGAACAUAUGUGUAAGUAACUGUGCACAUCUUGACGGUACCUAAUCAGAAAGCCACGGCUAACUACGUGCCAGCAGCCGCGGUAAUACGUAGGUGGCAAGCGUUAUCCGGAAUUAUUGGGCGUAAAGCGCGCGUAGGCGGUUUUUUAAGUCUGAUGUGAAAGCCCACGGCUCAACCGUGGAGGGUCAUUGGAAACUGGAAAACUUGAGUGCAGAAGAGGAAAGUGGAAUUCCAUGUGUAGCGGUGAAAUGCGCAGAGAUAUGGAGGAACACCAGUGGCGAAGGCGACUUUCUGGUCUGUAACUGACGCUGAUGUGCGAAAGCGUGGGGAUCAAACAGGAUUAGAUACCCUGGUAGUCCACGCCGUAAACGAUGAGUGCUAAGUGUUAGGGGGUUUCCGCCCCUUAGUGCUGCAGCUAACGCAUUAAGCACUCCGCCUGGGGAGUACGACCGCAAGGUUGAAACUCAAAGGAAUUGACGGGGACCCGCACAAGCGGUGGAGCAUGUGGUUUAAUUCGAAGCAACGCGAAGAACCUUACCAAAUCUUGACAUCCUUUGACAACUCUAGAGAUAGAGCCUUCCCCUUCGGGGGACAAAGUGACAGGUGGUGCAUGGUUGUCGUCAGCUCGUGUCGUGAGAUGUUGGGUUAAGUCCCGCAACGAGCGCAACCCUUAAGCUUAGUUGCCAUCAUUAAGUUGGGCACUCUAAGUUGACUGCCGGUGACAAACCGGAGGAAGGUGGGGAUGACGUCAAAUCAUCAUGCCCCUUAUGAUUUGGGCUACACACGUGCUACAAUGGACAAUACAAAGGGCAGCGAAACCGCGAGGUCAAGCAAAUCCCAUAAAGUUGUUCUCAGUUCGGAUUGUAGUCUGCAACUCGACUACAUGAAGCUGGAAUCGCUAGUAAUCGUAGAUCAGCAUGCUACGGUGAAUACGUUCCCGGGUCUUGUACACACCGCCCGUCACACCACGAGAGUUUGUAACACCCGAAGCCGGUGGAGUAACCUUUUAGGAGCUAGCCGUCGAAGGUGGGACAAAUGAUUGGGGUGAAGUCGUAACAAGGUAGCCGUAUCGGAAGGUGCGGCUGGAUCACCUCCUUUCUAAGGA